This 578-nucleotide ribosomal RNA is filed under the name Staphylococcus aureus. RNAcentral describes it as "partial 23S ribosomal RNA". It matches the Rfam family "Bacterial large subunit ribosomal RNA", at positions 1473 to 2048 of the family's 2925-position model. The record is from RNAcentral. Lineage: Bacteria; Bacillati; Bacillota; Bacilli; Caryophanales; Staphylococcaceae.
CGCAGUAGGAUAGGCGAAGCGUGCGAUUGGAUUGCACGUCUAAGCAGUAAGGCUGAGUAUUAGGCAAAUCCGGUACUCAUUAAGGCUGAGCUGUGAUGGGGAGAAGACAUUGUGUCUUCGAGUCGUUGAUUUCACACUGCCGAGAAAAGCCUCUAGAUAGAAAAUAGGUGCCCGUACCGCAAACCGACACAGGUAGUCAAGAUGAGAAUUCUAAGGUGAGCGAGCGAACUCUCGUUAAGGAACUCGGCAAAAUGACCCCGUAACUUCGGGAGAAGGGGUGCUCUUUAGGGUUAACGCCCAGAAGAGCCGCAGUGAAUAGGCCCAAGCGACUGUUUAUCAAAAACACAGGUCUCUGCUAAACCGUAAGGUGAUGUAUAGGGGCUGACGCCUGCCCGGUGCUGGAAGGUUAAGAGGAGUGGUUAGCUUCUGCGAAGCUACGAAUCGAAGCCCCAGUAAACGGCGGCCGUAACUAUAACGGUCCUAAGGUAGCGAAAUUCCUUGUCGGGUAAGUUCCGACCCGCACGAAAGGCGUAACGAUUUGGGCACUGUCUCAACGAGAGACUCGGUGAAAUCAUAGU